GCCGGUUCUUAAACCGGCUGCGUUGUACUACCUUAUCACGUUAAAUCGGUGAUGUUAGGGGUUCCAAAUCGGUGAGCCGGUGGGGCAUCGCUUUCCUUUCAGCUCCGCCCCACAUUUCGUUUCAGUUUCAUUCACGACUGUCAACAGCGUCUCAUUUUCUUCCUCUGCUAUGCCUGUGUACAGUGUACUCCACUCACUCGCACUGUAGCUCACACCAGUUUCAAACCUUCACGAGUGCCACAAACUUUUCUUUCUUUGACUAUACUUUCCAGGCUG
This 276-nucleotide long non-coding RNA is filed under the name Setaria italica (foxtail millet). RNAcentral describes it as "long non-coding RNA (SITA_LNC000476)". Lineage: Eukaryota; Viridiplantae; Streptophyta; Magnoliopsida; Poales; Poaceae. The record is from RNAcentral.